AGGGAUAUUUAAACCCAUCGAAAAUCUAGUAACAAUUGGAGGACAAGUCUGGUGCCAGCACCCGCGGUAAUUCCAGCUCCAAAAGCGUAUAUUAAUGCUGUUGCUGUUAAAGGGUUCGUAGUUGAACUGUGGGCUGUGUAGGUUUGUUCCUGGUCGUCCCGUCCAUGUCGGAUUUUGGUGGCCCAGGCCCUUGCAGCCCGUGAACAUUCAAAGAAACAAGAAACACGGGAGUGGUUCCUUUCCUGACUCACGCAUGUCAUGCAUGCUGCAGGGGGCGUCCGUGAUUUUUACUGUGACUAAAGAAGUGUGACUAAAGCAGUCAUUUGACUUGAAUUAGCAAGCAUGGGAUAACAAAGGAGCAGCCUUUAGGCUACCGUUUCGGCUUUUGUUGGUUUUAAAGGUCUAUUGGAGAUUAUGGAGCUGUGCGACAAGUGCUUUCGCAUUCCGUACUCUUGUGGU
RNAcentral lists this ribosomal RNA (459 nucleotides) under Lotmaria passim. Its description in RNAcentral is "SSU rRNA". It matches the Rfam family "Eukaryotic small subunit ribosomal RNA", at positions 512 to 912 of the family's 1831-position model. Lineage: Eukaryota; Euglenozoa; Kinetoplastea; Trypanosomatida; Trypanosomatidae. The record is from RNAcentral.